GACGAACGCUGGCGGCGUGCUUAACACAUGCCAGUCGAACGGAAAGGCCCUGCUUUUGUGGGGUGCUCGAGUGGCGAACGGGUGAGUAACACGUGAGUAACCUGCCCUUGACUUUGGGAUAACUUCAGGAAACUGGGGCUAAUACCGGAUAGGAGCUCCUGCUGCAUGGUGGGGGUUGGAAAGUUUCGGCGGUUGGGGAUGGACUCGCGGCUUAUCAGCUUGUUGGUGGGGUAGUGGCUUACCAAGGCUUUGACGGGUAGCCGGCCUGAGAGGGUGACCGGCCACAUUGGGACUGAGAUACGGCCCAGACUCCUACGGGAGGCAGCAGUGGGGAAUAUUGCACAAUGGGCGGAAGCCUGAUGCAGCAACGCAGCGUGCGGGAUGACGGCCUUCGGGUUGUAAACCGCUUUCGCCUGUGACGAAGCGUGAGUGACGGUAAUGGGUAAAGAAGCACCGGCUAACUACGUG
This 468-nucleotide ribosomal RNA is filed under the name uncultured bacterium. RNAcentral describes it as "partial 16S ribosomal RNA". It matches the Rfam family "Bacterial small subunit ribosomal RNA", at positions 28 to 507 of the family's 1533-position model. The record is from RNAcentral.